AGCAUUUACUUUAUUUGUUCCGGGUUGGAAAGAUCUUCUAUCCAUUUUUGUUAAUGACCUAUAAAUUGAAAGAGAUCACUCAUAAACUUUUGUUAGCCACCUGAAACUAGUGGCUACAGAUACUUUUGGAAAAACAGAAAGAAAGUUCUUUAAAAAAAAAAAAAGAUAACAAGAAAAACAUUAUUCAUAUAUAAAUAUAUUGCAACAUGGCGUCGAUCGACUUGGCUUUCAUUACAAAUGCUUCACGGAAGUGAUGAAUGAGAGAAUGAAAAGGAAAUGUUAUAUACUUAAAAUGGUGGUUAAUAGAGAAGAUAGAGUUCACCAAAUAGCAUGUGUUCUAUAACACAUGCUUUUUCUGUCUAUAUUCGACGGAUGAAAUAUGGGUUACUCUUGUACUUUUGUAGGAAGGAAUCCCAUAUAAGCAUGUGGGGAGGAGCUCUAUCUAUGUUAUCUAUUUUGUGUAAGAGCGUACCUUGUGGUUGUACUUGGGGAAAAUAUAUAUGUGGUUCUAUUGUUCGAGGAGGAAAAGAAAGAGAACUUUAUGUUAAAAGGGUUUGAAAGAUGGCUAUUUUAUAAGCAAAAACAAGGAAUUAGGUUUUAUAGUAUAUUGUAUGUGAAGAAUUCAUUGUUGGUUACGAUCAGUAAAGCGUAUAUAUCUUGAUAAGUUUUAUAGUGCAUGGGCUAUUUAAUCUAGUUAUGAGUUAGUGAGAGAAUAAUAUUAUAUAUAUAUAUAUAUAAACUAUCAAAUUCAUAUUCUGUACUUAUAAUUUACUUCUGUCUGUCACCUAAUUUUUACGAUCUAAAAGAAUCUAAACAAACCAUUUCUGUAAAAGAUAUAUAUAUAGCAGUAGUAUACAUCACUCUCGAAAGCCACUAUAGUAAAGCAAUCAACAGAGGUUCCUAAGUAGUAGUUAAGUUAAAAGUUAUUGGGUGCAGUCCUUAAAUAUGCAUUAUAAACAUCGAUUGGCUUAAAAUGUAUGGGCAACUUGUAUAUAUUCUCAUGAUUGUAUGAUGAAAAAAAAUUGUUCAUAUACGAAAUGAUGUUUGAAUCCAAUAUAUAUAUGAAGGUGACAUAAGAGUGAUGCCACAUAUCACGUACCUAUACAACAUAUUAAAUAUAUUAUAUAUAUUGAGAACUUGACAAGCAUAUUCAGAUAUAUGCACAGUAAAAAAUUACAUAACAUAAAAGGAGGAAAGUACAGAUACAAUGUAAAGGGGCCAAAAGGGUACCUUUUUGAAUUGAAAGAUCAUCAACAGAGACCUGACAGUAACAACCCUCUUCCUCUCUUCUUCCUUCAGUCUUCCCCCUCCGCCCCCAACUUUCGGUUAGAGCCUUACGGAGAAGACUUGGACAGUUGGACCUCUGUCUCUCUCUCUCUCUCCCCCAGCGAUGGAUAGAAAGAAAAGAAAUAAUGAUAGAUAGCAUCAGACCAUCUCCACGUGGGAUAACGAUAUGGCCCCCACAUAUUGACAAGGAAGUCUUCUGAAGUUUAUGGUUCCCACUGGAAGAUUACUUUGACCUUUUGGAGAAGGGGAAAGAUGGGAGUUGAAGAAAUCAACGUGGCGCAGAGAUAAAGUCUCUGAGCAGAGAGCACUAUGGUGGAGUCCAGUUGUGUAUUUGCAUAUGUUCUUCUCCCCUCCCUCUACUGCUUUUGUAGCCCAGUUGUAUACCAAUAUUCGUGGUGUACUCUUUCAUAUAAUUUC
This 1704-nucleotide long non-coding RNA is filed under the name Ricinus communis (castor bean). RNAcentral describes it as "long non-coding RNA (RCOM_LNC001075)". Lineage: Eukaryota; Viridiplantae; Streptophyta; Magnoliopsida; Malpighiales; Euphorbiaceae. The record is from RNAcentral.